Molecule: ribosomal RNA, 460 nt
Filed under: uncultured bacterium
Lineage: Bacteria
Description: partial 16S ribosomal RNA
Rfam family: Bacterial small subunit ribosomal RNA
Source: RNAcentral
CCUACGGGUGGCUGCAGUGAGGAAUAUUGGUCAAUGGACGCAAGUCUGAACCAGCCAUGCCGCGUGCAGGAAGACGGCCCUAUGAGUUGUAAACUGCUUUUGUACGAGGGUAAACCGAGAUACGCGUAUCUUUUUGAAUGUAUCUUACGAAUAAGGAUCGGCUAACUCCGUGCCAGCAGCCGCGGUAAUACGGAGGAUGCAAGCGUUAUCCGGAUUUAUUGGGUUUAAAGGGAGGGUAGCGGGGCUGGUAAGUUAGAGGUGAAAUGGCGAGGCUCAACUUCGGAAUUGCAAGUGAUACUGGUCGGCUAGAGAGUAGUUGCGGUAGGCGGAAUGUGUGGUGUAGCGGUGAAAUGCGUAGAUAUCAUGCAGAACACCGAUUGCGAAGGCAGCUUACUAAGCUGCGUCUGACGUUGAGGCACGAAAGCGUGGGGAGCAAACAGGAUUAGAUACCCCUGUAGUC